AGUAAGCUUUAGUGGAAAGCUGUUAUUUGUGUGUUCAUAGUGUACUGUCUUUAGCAUAUGCUUAACGUGGAGGAAAUGCAUCAGUACUGUUUGUGUUUUGUGUUUCCUCUAUGCCUAGGUUUUUGUUUAGAUCUAAAACCUGGUAAAAAUUUCAGUAGCCUUCAAUAGGCGUAACACUGUUUCUUAAACAUUUUAAGUCAUUUAAAAGUAACUUCAGUUUAUACAUCGUCUAAAUUAUAUUCAGAGUUUAGAAUUGCAAAGGAUCUUAUAUAUCAUGAGCUCCUAUCUCCAUCCAAGUGAGAUGUUCCUUUAAUAGUCUGUCUAAUAGAUGACUAACUCCAGCUUAAAUAUAUUCAGUGAAAGAGCAUACUACCUCAUAAGCAUGAGCCACUGUGCCUGGCCUCUUAAUUUGAAUUCAAGCAUGCCUAUCACUUCGGUAAAGUUAUAGAAAGCAAAUUCUCUCUUAUAUGUGAGAACUCUUUAAGUAUGUGGAGACUACUACUACAUUCUACAUAGAAAAUGACCUCCAGACUCCUUAUCUUAUCAUCCAAGAAUGUUAGGAUUUGUUAAAUCUUCCAAAGGUGACACUCAGAAAUGAAUGCUUUAGAUAUAAUGUGGAACUCUAUACAUUUAGUUAUUUUUGAUAAUCUGGAAGCUUAUUUAUAAUCAUCUUGGUUGAAGGCAGUAAUUGAACACUAAUAUAUAUGGCUUGUUAACUUCUUUAUCAGCAAUAUCAGAAUUUUAGAAUAAAUAUUUGUUCAAAUAAAAGAACUAAAUCUUUUUCAGAUAUGUAAAAAUAUGUUUGACAGACUAACUUCCAAAUUGAUUUUUAUUCUAUAUGUUGAAAAACAUAAAAAUAAUCUCCAGUAGGUUGAACAUAAUUAGUUCUGUGUUUACAGCCAAUAUCCCAAUAUAUCCUCAAAAUAUGUAUAACUGAAGCCGAGCACAGUGGCUCAUGCCUGUAAUCCCAGAACUUUGGGAGGAUCAGUUGAAUCCAGGAAUCUGAGACCAGCUUGGGUAACACAGGGAGACCCUGUCUCUACAAAAAAUUUAAAAAUUAGCCAGGCGUGGUGGUACCUCUUUCUGGUCCCAGCCACUCAGGAGGUUGAGGUGGGAAGAUGGCUUGAGCCUGGGAGAUCAAGACCACAGUGAGCCAUGAUGGCACCACAGCACUCCAGCAUAAGACUCUGUCUCAAGAAAAGUACAUAUAACUGAGAUUGGGCCCUUAAAAAAAAUUAUUCAUCUCUAAUAAUUUUUUGAAUAGUUGAACCUAAGGGAGUAAAUUUCAUGACAGGUAUUUAACUGUGGCAAAUGAAGUUUAGUUCCAGUGAUUUAUAUUUAAAUUUUUUUUUUUGAGACGGAGUUUUGCUCUUGUUGCCCAGGCUGGAGUGCAGUCCACGAUCUUGGCUCACUGCAGCAUCUGCCUCCUGGGUUCAAGCGAUUCUCCUGCCUCAGCCUCCCAAGUAGCUGGGAUUACAGGCAUGCGCCACCAUGCUCAGCUAAUUUUGUAUUUUUAGGAGAGACAGGGUUUCUCCAUGUUGGUCAGGCUGGUCUCAAACUCCCAGCCUCAGGUGAUCCACCUGCCUCGGCCUCCUGCCUCAGCCCCCCAAAGUGCUGGGAUUACAGGAGUGAGCCACUGCGCCCGGCCUAAAUAUUUCUUAUAAAUGUUAUUGAACAUACUAUAUAUUUUUUGUAUUAGUUGUUUUUAAAAUAACUGUUGAGAGUUCAUCGAACCAGAAAUAUAUUUAUUAAUUAAUGUUUAUCAAAUAUUUAACAUUAAUAUAUUUCAGUGUUAAAUACUUGAUAGAUACCCUAAACUGAUUGAGUCCUGGGGGGUAUAUAAAGAUGUGGUCUUCUGCUUCAAGGAGUUAAUUUACAGUGUUAGAGAUAAGAUGGAAAAGGUAGUGUGGGAGAAAUGUCGUAAGAGAAAUUCAAAUAGUAUUAUAGGACUUUAGAGAUUUUGUACUAAGAAGAUCAGGAAUGAUUUAAUGGAUAAGGUGAAAUAUGAUCUGGUCCAUGAAGUGUCAGGAAAGCUUUCCUUUUAUGGAUGUUAUGAUCUGAGCCUUGAAAUAAAUGAUAUCUAGGGGCAGCUUAGGAUCUCGUAAGAUUGAGCUUGCCCUUGUACGUUUAUUGCUUACAUGUGACAGGGGCUAAAAUAGAACAGCUGCCACUGUUACUGAAUGUACAGAGAUAGACGAUUGUCUUAAACUCUGAUUGGCCAGGAAAAAGUUCAGAUUUCCACGUUGUAGUGUCAAUGAGGAUGUUAGCUUGAGGUAAGAGAAAUAAGUAGGACAGAGGAGCUCUUUGCAGAUCCACAGUAUGAUUUCUGAUGGCUGAACAAGUCAAUGAAUGAAAUCUUUAACUUAAUGUGUGAAAAAUAAUUUAGGCACUCAGUAAAUACUUGGAGAAACAACCCAAAUGUUCUUCAGUGGUAGAAUGCAUAGAGUUGUUCUUCAGUGGUAGAACGUAUAGAGUUGUUCUUCAGUGGUAGAACGUAUAGAGUUGUUCUUCAGGGGUAGAAUGUAUAGAGUUGUUCUUCAGGGGUAGAAUGUAUCGAGUGUUCCUCAGUGGUAAAAUGUAUAGAGUGUUCCUCAGUGGUAGACUGUGUAGAGUUGUUCUUCAGUGGUAGAAUGCAUAGAGUUGUUCUUCAGGGGUAGAACGUAUAGAGUUGUUCUUCAGUGGUAGAAUAUAUAGAGUUGUUCCUCAGUGGUAGAAUGUAUAGAGUUGUUCUUCAGGGGUAGAAUGUAUAGAGUUGUUCUUCAGGGGUAGAAUGUAUCGAGUGUUCUUCAGUGGUAAAAUGUAUAGAGUUGUUCUUCAGGGGUAGAAUGUAUAGAUUGUUCUUCAGUGGUAGAAUGUAUAGAGUUGUUCCUCAGUGGUAGAAUGUAUCGAGUGUUCCUCAGUGGUAGAAUGUAUAGAGUUGUUCUUCAGGGGUAGAAUGUAUAGAGUUGUUCUUCAGUGGUAGAAUGUAUAGAGUUGUUCUUCAGGGGUAGAACGUAUAGAGUUGUUCUUCAGUGGUAGAAUGUAUAGAGUGUUCCUCAGUGGUAGAAUGUAUCGAGUGUUCCUCAGUGGUGGAAUGUAUAGAGUUGUUCCUCAGUGGUAGAAUGUAUCGAGUGUUCCUCAGUGGUAGAAUGUAUAGAGUUGUUCCUCAGUGGUAGAAUGUAUCGAGUGUUCCUCAGUGGUAGAAUGUAUAGAGUUGUUCUUCAGUGGUGGAAUGUAUAGAGUGUUCUUCAGGGGUAGAAUGUAUCGAGUGUUCCUAAGUGGUAGAAUGUAUAGAGUUGUUCUUCAGUGGUGGAAUGGUAUAGAGUUCUCAAAAUGUCAUCAGGGACCCUCUGGGAUCCCUACGAUAUGGGGGAUCCACAAGAUGAAAACGAAUUUCAUGUUAAUACUAAGGCAUUAAUUGUAUUUUGACUCUUACUCUCUCAGGAACGUACAGUAGCCUUUUCCAGAGUCUACAUGAUGACUGAUAAUUAAAGUAGAUUGAAUGCAAAAGCUGGAUCUUAGUUCAGUGGGCUGUAACAAAGUACCGUAGACUAGGUAGCUUAUAAACAACAGACGUUUAUUUUGCACAGUUUUGGAGAUUAGCAGUUCAAGGUCAGGAUGUGAGUAAGGUCAGGUUCUGGUGAGUGUUCUCUUCCAGGUUGCAGACUUUGGACUUCUUUUGAUAUCCUUGUGUGGCAGAAAGAAGGCUAGAGAGCUCUCCAGUGUCACUUUUGUAAGGACAGUAAUCCUAUUCAUGAUGGCUCCAUCCUCAUGACUUUACCUUCCAAAGCCCUCACCUGUUAAUACCGUCACAUUAAGUGUUAGUAUUUCAACAUGUGAAUUUUGGAGAGAUAGAAACAUUCAGCCCUUAACAAGCAGUUGUGAGAAUCUAGUUGUCUUCUAUUAAGGCAAACACCAAAGAGAUCCAAAAACAAUACCACUCUUCUUACUAAAUAUUUUUAUUUGUUUUGGAAAAUAAAAAUAACUAGGCCAGAUGCGGUGGCUCACGCCUGUAAUCCCAGCACUUUGGGAGGCCAAGAUAGGCAGAUCACAAGGUCAGGAGUUCAAGAGCAGCCUGGCCAAUAUGGUGAAACCUUGUCUCCACUAAAAAUAUUAAAAUUAGCCGGGCAUGGUGGUGGGCACCUGUAGUCCCAGUUACUUGGGAGGCUGAGGCAGGAGAAUCGCUUGAACCUGGGAGGUGGAGAUUGUAGUGAGCCAAGAUCGCGCCACUGCACUCCACUCUGGGUGACAGAGCGAGACUCUGUCUCAAAAAUAAAAAAGGCCAGGCGUGGUGGCUCAUGCCUGUAAUCCCAGCACUUUGGUAGGCCGAGGCAGGCAGAUCACGAGAUAGGGAGAUCGAGACCGUCCUGGCUAACACAGUGAAACCCUGUCUCUACUAAAAAUACAAAAAAUUAGCUGGGCGUGGUGGCAGGCGCCUGUAGUCCCAGCUACUCGGGAGGCUGAGGCAGGAGAAAGGCGUGAACCUGGCAGGCGGAGCUUGCAGUGAGCCAAGAUUGCAGCCACUGCACUCCAGCCUGGGUGACAGAGUGAGACUCCAUCUCCAAAAAAAAAAACAAACAAACAAACAAAAAAAAACAAAAAGCUAAUGGAUACUAGGCUUGAUACCUCAGCGAUGGAAUAAUCUGUACAGCAAACCCUUGUGAUACAUGUUUACCUGUGUAACAAACCUGCACAUCCUGCACGUGUAUCCCGACCUUAAAAUAAAAGUUAAAAUUUCUUUUUCAUUUAAAAAGAGAUGUUUACCCUAUGUGUAAUGAGUUUAUUAUUAUUUUUUAAGUGAAAUGGUUUUUAACUAUCUUAUUAAUAGUUUUUAUUUUGGCCGGGCGUGGUGGCUCACCCCUGUAAUCCCAGCUCUUUGGGAGCCCGAGGUGGGUGGAUCACCUGAAGUCAGGAGUUUGAGACCAGCCUGGCCAACAUGGCAAAACCCUAUCUCCACUAAAAAUACAA
Long non-coding RNA from Symphalangus syndactylus (siamang), 4947 nucleotides. RefSeq lists it as uncharacterized. NCBI's taxonomy places the organism in Eukaryota, Metazoa, Chordata, Mammalia, Primates, Hylobatidae. The record is from RefSeq and is a predicted model, not a curated record.